GAUGAACGCUGGCUGUGUGCCUAAUACAUGCAUGUCGGGCGGAAGUAGCAAUACUUUAGCGGCGAAUGGGUGAGUAACACGUGCUUAAUCUACCUCUUAGAUUGGAAUACCUAAUGGAAACAUUGGUUAAUGCCGGAUACGCAUGGAGUCGCAUGACUCCGUUGUGAAAGGGGCCUUUAAAGCUCCACUAAGAGAUGAGGGUGCGGAACAUUAGCUAGUUGGUGAGGUAACGGCCCACCAAGGCUACGAUGUUUAGCCGGGUCGAGAGACUGAACGGCCACAUUGGGACUGAGAUACGGCCCAAACUCCUACGGGAGGCAGCAGUAGGGAAUAUUCCACAAUGAGCGAAAGCUUGAUGGAGCGACACAGCGUGCACGAUGAAGGUCUUAUGGAUUGUAAAGUGCUGUUGCAAGGGAAGAAAAAGUAGUUGAGGAAAUGCUUCUACAUUGACGGUACCUUGUUAGAAAGCGAUGGCUAACUAUGUGCCAGCAGCCGCGGUAAUACAUAGGUCGCAAGCGUUAUCCGGAAUUAUUGGGCGUAAAGCGUUCGUAGGCUGUUUAUUAAGUCUGGAGUCAAAUCCCAGGGCUCAACCCUGGCUCGCUUUGGAUACUGGUAAACUAGAGUUGGAUAGAGGUAAGCGGAAUUCCAUGUGAAGCGGUGAAAUCCGUAGAUAUAUGGAAGAACACCAAAGGCGAAGGCAGCUUACUGGGUUUAUACUGACGCUGAGGAACGAAAGCGUGGGGAGCAAACAGG
This 753-nucleotide ribosomal RNA is filed under the name uncultured Mycoplasma sp. RNAcentral's name for it is "bacterial SSU rRNA". It matches the Rfam family "Bacterial small subunit ribosomal RNA", at positions 28 to 776 of the family's 1533-position model. Lineage: Bacteria; Bacillati; Mycoplasmatota; Mollicutes; Mycoplasmatales; Mycoplasmataceae. The record is from RNAcentral.